AAGUCAUUAGAUUAGUUGGUUAAAUCAUAAAUCUUACACAUUUAAAAGAUAGGUUCAAGUCCUAUAUGACUUA
Non-coding RNA from [Candida] anglica, 73 nucleotides. The record is from the annotation of a GenBank genome assembly. NCBI's taxonomy places the organism in Eukaryota, Fungi, Ascomycota, Pichiomycetes, Serinales, Debaryomycetaceae.